This 363-nucleotide unclassified non-coding RNA is filed under the name uncultured bacterium. RNAcentral's name for it is "contains 16S-23S intergenic spacer region". The record is from RNAcentral.
UCCCCGUUACCGGGGCAGUCUAGCUAGAGAAAUUCAACUAGCUAUAAGGGUUGCGCUCGUUAAUGGACUUAACCAUACAUCUCACGACACGAGCUGACGACGGCCAUGCAUCACCUGUCACCUGGCUCCCGAGGGCACCUUCUCCUUUCAGAGAAGUUCCAGGGAUGUCAAGCCUUGGUAAGGUUCUUCGCUUACCUUCGAAUUAAACAACACGCUCCACCGCUUGUGCGGGUCCCCGUCAAUUCCUUUAUGUUUUAGCCUUGCGGCCGUACUCCACAGGCGGGAUGCUUAACGCGUUAGCUUCGCUACUACCAGGGUCGAUACUGAUAACAGCUAGCAUCCAUAGUUUACGGCGUGGACUAC